GCCACCAUCUCAACCGUCCUCGUUGAUAAUUUUGCAAAUACGUACACCCAAUGUCGUAAAAAUAAGUUAGUGUAUAUCUUUCUAAUCAAACAUUUGGAAUCAUGUGCAAUUAAGCAACUAGUGCUAGCAUUGCAAAACUCUGCUUGGACUAAGCAUAUAUAUAUUUACAUCACAGCGAAAUAGUCCUCUUCUGGAGCCACAGAGGAAUGGCGAUCGUCAAUCAACAGACUAGCGCAGCUAUACAGUUGCAUGAAGACGAUGGGAGAAGAGUGUUAAAAACUCAAAUGCCAGUCAGUUAAAUAUGAGACAACACAGCCUACUAUCUCCUCAAGGGAUCCCUUGUAAAGAAUGGGUGCCUUAGAGCCUCACGAGCCGUUAGUCUAUGUGUAGGAUCGUAUCGAAGCAACCCUUGCACAAGAUGAAUCAAUUCCCCAGCUGAAUGGUCCACAUGCUGCAUUAUCAAGUUCGGUAAACGAGCCAGCUUUUGAACGGCCUUGAUACUAUCCCUCGAAGUUGCACCUUCUGGCCAAUCUAAUCUGCCUCUUCUCACAUAUUUUUCUGCAUGCCGAUCUACUCUCUUCAGCAUCUCCUGUGGCAAUGGACCGAGCACUCGCUCCAUCAUUGCCAAGUGCUCCAAGUUUUCAUGAGUUUGAAACAGUGCUUCACCCGAGCA
RNAcentral lists this unclassified non-coding RNA (673 nucleotides) under Hevea brasiliensis (rubber tree). The record is from RNAcentral. Lineage: Eukaryota; Viridiplantae; Streptophyta; Magnoliopsida; Malpighiales; Euphorbiaceae.